UGUUAAGUGACCGAGAUGAAGCCUGCCUUUCAAACACAGGCUGUGUCCCGAUCAGGCCGAGUACCCUUUGGAGAAGUUCUGCUCCAGAUGCCUCAGCUCAGGGUGGCUGCUGUUACCAAGGAGUACCGAGAUGCUCCGGCCUUAUCCAUGUACCACAGGGGACCCACAGUGCAUUCCAGGAGCCAAAUGCAUGACUCAGAUCUCUGUUCCUCCAGCGACUUGAACUGCACACUGCUUGUAGCUCUGCAUAACCAAACCUGUGACGGACCCAGCAAAACCUCUCCUGUUCAGUGGCGGAGGAAGCACAAGCACACGUAGCUCUGCACGGCUACCCCGCAGAGAACCUGGCCCUGAUUCUGCUGUCAUGCUGGUGCAGAAGAGCAAUUCAACUGGUGUCAGAGGAUUUCCAUUGACAUAAAUCUAGUGUUUUUCCUCCCCCUCACGGUUUCUGCCAAAAGCUCUGGAUCGCUGUGGUCAAUGGCAUCUCCGAAGGACACAUGGGCUGACAGACAGUUCACUGAACACAGCGAGAGGAAAGCCCCAGCCAGGAGCACCAAAGCCGUGCAAAGCAAAGCUC
Oxyura jamaicensis (ruddy duck) is the source of this 577-nucleotide long non-coding RNA. RefSeq lists it as uncharacterized. The transcript is spliced from 5 exons. The record is from RefSeq and is a predicted model, not a curated record. NCBI's taxonomy places the organism in Eukaryota, Metazoa, Chordata, Aves, Anseriformes, Anatidae.